Molecule: ribosomal RNA, 440 nt
Filed under: uncultured bacterium
Lineage: Bacteria
Description: partial 16S ribosomal RNA
Rfam family: Bacterial small subunit ribosomal RNA
Source: RNAcentral
CCUACGGGAGGCAGCAGUAGGGCAUAUUGCUCAAUGGGGGAAACCCUGAAGCAGCAACGCCGCGUGGAGGAUGAAGGUUUUCGGAUUGUAAACUCCUUUUGUUAGAGAAGAUAAUGACGGUAUCUAACGAAUAAGCACCUGCUAACUCCGUGCCAGCAGCCGCGGUAAUACGGAGGGUGCACGCGUUACUCGGAAUCACUGGGCGGAAAGAGCGCGUAGGCGGGAUAGCAAGUCAGAUGUGAAAUCCUAUGGCUUAACCAUAGAACUGCAUUUGAAACUGUUAUUCUAGAGUAUGGGAGAGGUAGGUGGAAUUCUUGGUGUAGGGGUAAAAUCCGUAGAGAUCAAGAGGAAUACUCAUUGCGAAGGCGACCUGCUAGAACAUAACUGACGCUGAUGCGCGAAAGCGUGGGGAGCAAACAGGAUUAGAGACCCCAGUAGUC